RNAcentral lists this ribosomal RNA (498 nucleotides) under uncultured bacterium. Its description in RNAcentral is "partial 16S ribosomal RNA". It matches the Rfam family "Bacterial small subunit ribosomal RNA", at positions 28 to 507 of the family's 1533-position model. The record is from RNAcentral.
GACGAACGCUGGCGGCGUGCCUAAUACAUGCAAGUCGAACGAGAGCGACCGGUGCUUGCACUGGUCAAUCUAGUGGCGAACGGGUGAGUAACACGUGGGUAACCUGCUCAUCAGAGGGGGAUAACAUCCGGAAACGGAUGCUAAAACCGCAUAGGUCUUCGAGCCGCAUGGCUUGAAGAGGAAAAGAGGCGCAAGCUUCUGCUGAUGGAUGGACCCGCGGUGCAUUAGCUAGUUGGUGAGGUAACGGCUCACCAAGGCCGUGAUGCAUAGCCGACCUGAGAGGGUGAUCGGCCACAUUGGGACUGAGACACGGCCCAAACUCCCACGGGAGGCAGCAGUAGGGAAUCUUCCGCAAUGGACGCAAGUCUGACGGAGCAACGCCGCGUGAGUGAAGAAGGUUUUCGGAUCGUAAAACUCUGUUGUUAGAGAAGAACAAGUGCUAGAGUAACUGUUAGCGCCUUGACGGUAUCUAACCAGAAAGCCACGGCUAACUACGUG